This 76-nucleotide microRNA precursor is filed under the name Schistosoma margrebowiei. RNAcentral describes it as "mir-3492 microRNA precursor family". It matches the Rfam family "mir-3492 microRNA precursor family". The record is from Rfam by way of RNAcentral. Lineage: Eukaryota; Metazoa; Platyhelminthes; Trematoda; Strigeidida; Schistosomatidae.
AGCCUUCUGUAUCCAUGCUGAGAUUUCGUCACACCAGACCACAAGGGCUGAUGAGACUUCCAAGAUAAGUGAAGUG